Molecule: ribosomal RNA, 246 nt
Filed under: uncultured bacterium
Lineage: Bacteria
Description: partial small subunit ribosomal RNA
Rfam family: Bacterial small subunit ribosomal RNA
Source: RNAcentral
AGAAUCAACGCUGGCGGCGUGCCUAACACAUGCAAGUCGAACGAGAAAGUGGGAGCAAUCCAUGAGUAAAGUGGCGCACGGGUGAGUAACACGUGACUAACCUACCCUUGAGUGGGGGAUAACCUAGGGAACCUGGGCUAAUACCGCAUAAUACCUUCGGGUCAAAGGAGCAAUUCGCUUAAGGAGGGGGUCGCGGCCGAUUAGUUAGUUGGCGGGGUAAUGGCCCACCAAGACUGUGAUCGGUAU